This 325-nucleotide long non-coding RNA is filed under the name Homo sapiens (human). RNAcentral's name for it is "non-protein coding lnc-WDR81-4:2". Lineage: Eukaryota; Metazoa; Chordata; Mammalia; Primates; Hominidae. The record is from RNAcentral.
AGACCUCAGCGUGUGAUGGGCUCCCGGCGUCGCACUGUGAGAGAGCGAAGUCUAAAGGGUUUGAAUAAAUUUGCCAAGAUUGCGCAUUGUACGAUGUCUGUUGUCAUCAAUGUGUACAUGCAAUGCAGUACUAGCUCCUGGACAGUCAUUUGUUCAUGCAUUCAUUCAUUUAACCAUCACUGUCUACCGAGGACGAGGGAUAAAGCAGGAAAAAAGACAACCAGUAGAGUUCACAGGGGAGCAGAAAGGCAGGCAAGAAUUAAGACCUUGGCCGGGCGCGGUGGCUCACGCCUGGAAUCGCAGCACUUUGGGAGGCCGAGGCAGG